This 567-nucleotide ribosomal RNA is filed under the name uncultured Bacteroidota bacterium. RNAcentral describes it as "bacterial SSU rRNA". It matches the Rfam family "Bacterial small subunit ribosomal RNA", at positions 48 to 608 of the family's 1533-position model. The record is from RNAcentral. Lineage: Bacteria; Pseudomonadati; Bacteroidota.
UUAACACAUGCAAGUCGAGGGGCAGCAUAGAGUAGCAAUACUUUGAUGGCGACCGGCGCACGGGUGAGUAACGCGUAUGCAACCUACCCUGUACAGGGGGAUAGCCCGGAGAAAUUCGGAUUAAUACCCCAUAAAGAUAUCGAGAGGCAUCUUUUGAUAUUUAAAGUUUCGACGGUACGGGAUGGGCAUGCGUAACAUUAGCUAGUUGGUAGGGUAACGGCCUACCAAGGCGACGAUGUUUAGGGGUCCUGAGAGGGUGAUCCCCCACACUGGUACUGAGACACGGAUCAGACUCCUACGGGAGGCAGCAGUGAGGAAUAUUGGUCAAUGGGCGUAAGCCUGAACCAGCCAUCCCGCGUGAAGGAAGACGGCGCUAUGCGUUGUAAACUUCUUUUCCAGAGGAAUAAAAUUUUGUACGAGUACGGAACUGAAGGUACUCUGGGAAUAAGCAUCGGCUAACUCCGUGCCAGCAGCCGCGCGAAUACGGAGGAUGCGAGCGUUAUCCGGAUUUAUUGGGUUUAAAGGGUGCGUAGGCGGAUUAAUAAGUCAGUGGUGAAAACCUUCAGC